CUACGGGAGGCAGCAGUCGGGAAUUUUGCGCAAUGGAGGAAACUCUGACGCAGUGACGCCGCGUAUAGGAAGAAGGUUUUCGGAUUGUAAACUAUUUUAGUCAGGGAAGAAAAAUGACAGUACCUGAAGAAUAAGCUCCGGCUAACUACGUGCCAGCAGCCGC
Molecule: ribosomal RNA, 163 nt
Filed under: uncultured bacterium
Lineage: Bacteria
Description: partial 16S ribosomal RNA
Rfam family: Bacterial small subunit ribosomal RNA
Source: RNAcentral